Molecule: long non-coding RNA, 1032 nt
Filed under: Nannospalax galili (Upper Galilee mountains blind mole rat)
Lineage: Eukaryota; Metazoa; Chordata; Mammalia; Rodentia; Spalacidae
Description: lncRNA (ENSNGAG00000024628.1)
Source: RNAcentral
AUGGUGUACUUUGUCCCCAGCAGCAGAAUGACCAUCUUCUCUCUCCUUUACAGGCUGAACCCUGUGCCUGGCUCCUACCCCACACAGAGCUGCCACCCUCACCUGCCCCCAAGCUACCCUGUCACUGAGAUACAACAUGCCAGCAGCCAGAAACUGGUGGCCUGGUCAGCCUGUGCUCCUGGGCACAUGCCCAGCCUGCCUCCAUACCACCCUGCCUCAGGCAGCUCUGUGAAACACGAUUUACUAACCCAACUUUCAGAUACAGAAAAUAAAAGUGGGCAUGGUAAAUGUACCUAUUCACAACUGUAACGGAGGCAGGAGGAUCAGAAGUUCAAGGUCAUCCUCAGUUAUACAGAGAGCUGGAGACCAGCCUGGGCUACAUGAGAAGUGAGAUGUUUUGGGAUUCCAUGGAGUCUUGAGGCUCCAGAGGAACCCCUCCACCUGGGGUUCUUAGCUCCUACUCCAGUGUCCUGAGCACAGGUAGAAGGUGAAGCUGUCCAAAGCUGCCAAAGGCUCUUGCUAAACCCACCUGUCUCAUCCUGCACAGUGCCCAUGAAUCCAUGCUUGUGUCUUGUGUGAUGGGCAGCCCUCAGGCCUGUGUAACAUCAUCUCCCUCCCUCCUUCCCUUCCUCCCCCUCAUCCAUCCCUGUCCAGACUUUUCUGCUAGGCAGAGGCCACCCAUAGCAGCAUGCUGGGCCAACCUAUCAGUUGUGUUUGUAUUAAAACCAGCCUCCAAACUGCCAGUCGUGUGAGGCUUUUUCGUGUUCCGCCCAGAGCAGAUACUGCCAUAACUUGGGCAAUUGUAAUCUGGGGUGCAGGGACAAAAGGUGUGAAGGGACCAGGAUUGCAUCAGACCCACAGCCUAUGUCCAGCGGGUCAACAGUUGGGACCUCACUUGGGAAGUGGGUAGCAAAGGUCCUCAACCCAGAGACGGGCGCAAAAGACCGGCCUGGGCAAGUUGGUGAGACCCAACUUCGGUAAGUUUUGUUUUUGUUUUUUCAUCCUUUUGAGACAGGGUCUCCCUGUAGCCCC